CAUGCCGCGUGUGUGAAGAAGGCUUCGGGUUGUAAAGCACUUUCAGUCAGGAGGAAAGGGUGUGAGUUAAUACCUCACAUCUGUGACGUUACUGACAGAAGAAGCACCGGCUAACUCCGUGCCAGCAGCCGCGGUAAUACGGAGGGUGCGAGCGUUAAUCGGAAUUACUGGGCGUAAAGCGUACGCAGGCGGUUUGUUAAGCGAGAUGUGAAAGCCCCGGGCUCAACCUGGGAACUGCAUUUCGAACUGGCAAACUAGAGUGUGAUAGAGGGUGGUAGAAUUUCAGGUGUAGCGGUGAAAUGCGUAAGAUCUGAAGGAAUACCGAUGGCGAAGGCAGCCACCUGGGUCAACACUGACGCUCAUGUACGAAAGCGUGGGGAGCAAACGGGAUUAGAUACCCCGGUAGUCCACGCCGUAAACGAUGUCUACUAGAAGCUCGGAACCUCGGUUCUGUUUUUCAAAGCUAACGCAUUAAGUAGACCGCCUGGGGAGUACGGCCGCAAGGUUAAAACUCAAAAUGAAUUGACGGGGGCCCGCACAAGCGGUGGAGCAUGUGGUUUAAUUCGAUGCAACGCGAAAGAACCUUACCUACACUUGACAUACAGAGAACUUACUANAGAUAGUUUGGUGCCUUCGGGGAACUCUGAUACCGGUGC
This 656-nucleotide ribosomal RNA is filed under the name Pseudoalteromonas sp. UST050418-008. RNAcentral describes it as "bacterial SSU rRNA". It matches the Rfam family "Bacterial small subunit ribosomal RNA", at positions 393 to 1041 of the family's 1533-position model. The record is from RNAcentral. Lineage: Bacteria; Pseudomonadati; Pseudomonadota; Gammaproteobacteria; Alteromonadales; Pseudoalteromonadaceae.